UGGGGAAUUUUGCGCAAUGGGGGAAACCCUGACGCAGCAACGCCGCGUGGAGGAUGAAAUCCCUUGGGAUGUAAACUCCUUUCGAUCGGGACGAUAAUGACGGUACCGGAAGAAGAAGCCCCGGCUAACUUCGUGCCAGCAGCCGCGGUAAUACGAGGGGGGCAAGCGUUGUUCGGAAUUAUUGGGCGUAAAGGGUGCGUAGGCGGUUUGACAAGUCUUAUGUGAAAUCUAUGGGCUCAACCCAUAGUCUGCAUGAGAAACUGUCGGGCUUGAGAGUGGGAGAGGUGAGUGGAAUUUCCGGUGUAGCGGUGAAAUGCGUAGAUAUCGGAAGGAACACCUGUGGCGAAAGCGGCUCACUGGACCAUUUCUGACGCUGAUGCACGAAAGCUAGGGGAGCAAAC
This 401-nucleotide ribosomal RNA is filed under the name uncultured bacterium. Its description in RNAcentral is "bacterial SSU rRNA". It matches the Rfam family "Bacterial small subunit ribosomal RNA", at positions 355 to 773 of the family's 1533-position model. The record is from RNAcentral.